Long non-coding RNA from Mercenaria mercenaria, 645 nucleotides. RefSeq lists it as uncharacterized. The transcript has 2 exons. Lineage: Eukaryota; Metazoa; Mollusca; Bivalvia; Venerida; Veneridae. The record is from RefSeq and is a predicted model, not a curated record.
UAUUUGAAUAACACUUGGUAUUUAUGUAGCUUAUAUCAAGACAAAGGCUGGGAUUGAUUUUGGGGUUUCUGGGGUCAAGGUCAAGGUCACUGUUACUUAAAAUAGAAAAAGAGUUUCCGGUCAAUAACUUAACUUAGGAAUGAGCUAUCAUGAUGAAACUUGGUGUAUAGAAAACUUAUAUAAAGUUGUAGCUUGGGAUUGAUUUUGGGGUUUCUGGGAUCAAGGUCAAGGUCAUUGUUACUAAAAAUAGGGUUAGGGUUAGGUUAGGGUUAGGGUUAGCAUAUCUUCUACAUGCAUGGAGGGAUUUUGAUGAAAGUUGGCACAAUUGUUCACCAUCAUGAGACGGAGUGUCAUGCACAAGAACCAGGUCCCUAGGUCUAAGGUCAAGGUCACACUUAGAGGUCAAAGGAUACAAGAAUGAAAACUUUGUCCGGAGCAUAUCUUCUUCAUGCAUAGAGGGAUUUUGAUGUAACUUGGCACAAUUAUACACCAUCAUGAGAUGAAGUGUCUUGCGCAGUUCCCUUCUUUAGAAUUACUUCCCUUUGUUGUUACUAUAAAUAGCUUGUAUUGUAACUUUUUCAUUACUAGACGUAGGGAAAAAUCGAGACCACUUUUCUGUAGUACAACAUGCAUGUUACAUCCAAU